CCUACGGGUGGCAGCAGUGAGGAAUAUUGGUCAAUGGGCGGAAGCCUGAACCAGCCAAGUCGCGUGAGGGAUGAAGGCCCUGUGGGUCGUAAACCUCUUUUGCCGGGGAGUAGAGUGCCGGACGUGUCCGGUCUUGUAUGUACCCUGUGAAAAAGGCUCGGCUAACGCCGUGCCCGCCGCCGCGGUAAUAAGGAGGAUGCGAGCGUUAUCCGGAUUUAUUGGGGUUUAAGGGUGCGUAGGCGGACGAUUAAGUCAGCGGUCAAAUUGCGGGGCUCAACCCCGUACUGCCGUUGAAACUGGGUGCCUUGAGUGCGCGAGAAGUAUGCGGAAUGCGUGGUGUAGCGGUGAAAUGCAUAGAUAUCACGCAGAACUCCGAUUGCGAAGGCAGCAUACCGGCGCCCAACUGACGCUGAGGCACGAAAGCGUGGGUAUCGAACAGGAUUAGAUACCCUAGUAGUC
This 459-nucleotide ribosomal RNA is filed under the name uncultured bacterium. Its description in RNAcentral is "partial 16S ribosomal RNA". It matches the Rfam family "Bacterial small subunit ribosomal RNA", at positions 338 to 795 of the family's 1533-position model. The record is from RNAcentral.